GACGCCCGCAGGGGAGCGGCAGACGGGUGAGUUACGCGUGGGAACGUACCCUUUUCUACGGAAUAACCCAGGGAAACUUGGACUAAUACCGUAUGUGCCCUUCGGGGGAAAGAUUUAUCGGAAAAGGAUCGGCCCGCGUUGGAUUAGCUAGUUGGUGGGGUAAAGGCCUACCAAGGCGACGAUCCAUAGCUGGUCUGAGAGGAUGAUCAGCCACAUUGGGACUGAGACACGGCCCAAACUCCUACGGGAGGCAGCAGUGGGGAAUAUUGGACAAUGGGCGCAAGCCUGAUCCAGCCAUGCCGCGUGAGUGAUGAAGGCCCUAGGGUUGUAAAGCUCUUUCACCGGUGAAGAUAAUGACGGUAACCGGAGAAGAAGCCCCGGCUAACUUCGUGCCAGCAGCCGCGGUAAUACGAAGGGGGCUAGCGUUGUUCGGAUUUACUGGGCGUAAAGCGCACGUAGGCGGAUCGAUCAGUCAGGGGUGAAAUCCCAGAGCUCAACUCUGGAACUGCCUUUGAUACUGUCGAUCUGGAGUAUGGAAGAGGUGAGUGGAAUUCCAGUGUAAGGGUGAAAUUCAAAUAUUCGGAGGAACACCAGUGGGGAAGGGGGUCAUGGG
Molecule: ribosomal RNA, 613 nt
Filed under: Proteobacterium KS39N1
Lineage: Bacteria; Pseudomonadati; Pseudomonadota
Description: bacterial SSU rRNA
Rfam family: Bacterial small subunit ribosomal RNA
Source: RNAcentral